Molecule: ribosomal RNA, 266 nt
Filed under: uncultured bacterium
Lineage: Bacteria
Description: partial 16S ribosomal RNA
Rfam family: Bacterial small subunit ribosomal RNA
Source: RNAcentral
GACGAACGCUGGCGGCGUGCUUAACACAUGCAAGUCGAGCGGUAAGGCCCUUUCGGGGUACACGAGCGGCGAACGGGUGAGUAACACGUGGGUGACCUGCCCUUAGCUCUGGGAUAAGCCUGGGAAACUGGGUCUAAUACCGGAUAUGACUCCAUGACGCAUGUUGUGGGGUGGAAAGCCUUGUGCGGCUAGGGAUGGGCCCGCGGCCUAUCAGCUUGUUGGUGGGGUGAUGGCCACCAAGGCGACGACGGGUAGCCGGCCUGAGA